GAUGAACGCUGGCGGCGUGCCUAAUACAUGCAAGUCGAGCGAACAGACGAGGAGCUUGCUCCUCUGACGUUAGCGGCGGACGGGUGAGUAACACGUGGAUAACCUACCUAUAAGACUGGGAUAACUUCGGGAAACCGGAGCUAAUACCGGAUAAUAUAUUGAACCGCAUGGUUCAAUAGUGAAAGACGGUUUUGCUGUCACUUAUAGAUGGAUCCGCGCCGCAUUAGCUAGUUGGUAAGGUAACGGCUUACCAAGGCAACGAUGCGUAGCCGACCUGAGAGGGUGAUCAGCCACACUGGAACUGAGACACGGUCCAGACUCCUACGGGAGGCAGCAGUAGGGAAUCUUCCGCGAUGGGCGAAAGCUUGACGGAGCAACGCCGCGUGAGUGAUGAAGGUCUUCGGAUCGUAAAACUCUGUUAUUAGGGAAGAACAAAUGUGUAAGUAACUAUGCACGUCUUGACGGUACCUAAUCAGAAAGCCACGGCUAACUACGUG
Molecule: ribosomal RNA, 497 nt
Filed under: uncultured bacterium
Lineage: Bacteria
Description: partial 16S ribosomal RNA
Rfam family: Bacterial small subunit ribosomal RNA
Source: RNAcentral